GUAGUUUGCUUCAUCCUCCACCAUUCUAGCAUUUAGAAUCAUCCAAGAAACACAUUGUCUAAUAAUUAACAACAACAAAAAAAAAGUAUAGUUAUCUAGUAAAACUCUUUUUCACAUGUUACCCACUUCUCUUUUUGUCUAGUAUUUCUAUUUACUGGUUUGUUGUGUUAUUAACAAUACACUAGGCACUUUAGUUGAAGGAGCUCAAUAGAAGCACAUUCUGUUGUGAUUGCAGUGCAGUGUGGGCAGCACAAGUGCUCUUAUCCUGUUCCCUUUAGUCAUCAUCUCCAUGGUGAGGCACAUCUCAGGAAAAAAAAGUCAUCAGAAAGAGUAAAUACUUCAAAACUGAAAGAGCCCUUUUACAAUCUCUUUUUCUUGCAAAUUUACUAGUUUGUCUUAGCAGUUGUUGACCCUGCUUCACCAGAUUGCUACCAAAAAAACUAGUUUCUUAAAUAGGCAUAUUUAUUCUCUAUUCCUACAGAAAGACAGAGAAAAGGUUCAGAGCACAAGGACAGUUAGAGCAAUCCAUUAGCAGAUCGCUAAUAGAGCAGCUGUAGGAUUCUGGAGAACUCACAGAGGAAGGAGUUCUAAUAUACCUAGAGAGAGAGUAAUCAUUGCUAGCAUUCCUAUUCGUCUUAAUGGCAGUUGCACUACUGGUGCGUGCAGCCCAGAAGUGUGCAACCUGGAUGUUGCCAUCUUUGCUUUAUAGAUUCACACUUUUGAUGCUCUGCUACUUUUGGCCAUUCAUGAAGCAUUUACCAGCAGGAGCCAAACUCUGAUCCACUGGAUGAGCCAUGAUUUAGGAUGAUUUAAGACAAACAACAUUAAGAACUGACCGCUUCAAGGAGGCCUGGAGCAAAUUGAACCGCUGAUUGAAUCCAAAGCCAAAGGACAUUAAAAGAAUCAAGACCCACUUGAGUUUGAUGGAGGGCAAAAGAGACAGAUGCAGCUGUACGUCCACGAGCUAAAGCACAUCAUCCUCAACAACAGGCAUCAGACUCUUCAGGCUAUGAGAGCGAGCUGUUGCUGGAAUUGCAUCAGCCAAUCGCAGAUGCUACAUCACUUCCAGGUCUGGCUUUCUGCUCAGUAA
Cyprinus carpio (common carp) is the source of this 1090-nucleotide long non-coding RNA. Lineage: Eukaryota; Metazoa; Chordata; Actinopteri; Cypriniformes; Cyprinidae. The record is from Ensembl.